RNAcentral lists this transfer RNA (74 nucleotides) under Staphylinidae sp. BMNH 1274697. RNAcentral describes it as "tRNA-Trp". Lineage: Eukaryota; Metazoa; Arthropoda; Insecta; Coleoptera; Staphylinidae. The record is from RNAcentral.
AAGGAUUUAAGUUAAAUUAAACUCGUAGCCUUCAAAGCUUCAAAUAAAGAUAAAUUUAUGUUCUUUAAGCCUUA